UGCCUCUUUUUUUUUCACCAUCCCUGUAUCUGAGAAAUAGUCCCUGUCUUUAUGAGAUAAAUCUUUUUAAUCUAUAUAAAUGAGUAAAUAGUAGAGGGAGGGAAACUUCUUUUAAUGAAAAUGGGAGACAUCAUUUCCCCCCAAAACACUCCUACCACCCUGCCUCUCAAAGAGAACGAUGCUAUUAUAAGAUCUUGAUUAAACUACCGUGCUUAAAAUCAAAAUUUAUUUAUCCAUAGGUAUGUUUGUGCAGCCUGCUGAAGGAAGCCAUAAGGAAUCCCUACUUCCAUUUUUAAUUAAGAUACUCAAAUAUCAUCUUGUAGAACUACAACUGUAUUCAAGAGGUACCUUCAACAUCUCUGUUCCUAUUUCAGUGAGCCUCAGGAUUCACUAUGGACUUCUCACCUCCUCCAUUUCAAUGAAUUUCUGUGAUUCGUAGGAUGCCCACAGCAACAGAUAAGAAAGCAGAUGCAGAAACCAAAAUACUUUUGCUCUGGGAUAAGAAGUCACAAUUAUUUCUCAUCAGUGCUGCUUCACUAGCUCCGAUUUUUUCCAGAGCUCUGGAGCCUGCUUGUUUACCUGGACUUAGAGGAGUUAAAAGUACUCGAUAAAUUAUAAAUGCCUGCAGGGAAAGACAAGAUGUUAAUCAAUUUGUAUUCUCUGAAUCUAGCUCAGUGCUUGAAUAAGGUGUCCAGUAAAAGCUGUAAAAAGAAUGCAUGUUGAAAUCUUGCUCCUGCGUGCCUUCGAUGAACUAUCUUGUGAACUUCCUGACUAAAGAGCAAUAUUAUGUAUAAGUACCUGGUUACUUAGCAGGACACUGAUUACUAACACUGUGUUUCUGACUAUGGCAAUAUGACCUGAAUUUAACUUGUAUAAUUGAAAAUUAAUAGCAUGGCUUGAAACAAUGCUUAAGCAUAAACACAAAAUUAACAUUUGUCAAACUAAACGGGAAAAGAAAAAAAAUAUAUUUUUUUAAUUUGUUCUGGUGAACAGAAUUCCUAACUUUUCUUUUUCUGCUUUUUCAAUAUUGCAAGUGAACAGAGAUUUCCUAGAGAGCAGUGGGAAAUAUAUAAAAUUAUAAAGUUUCAUGCUGAAUUUAAAUUUUGACCAGCUCCUAUAAUAUUUAUUAUUGUUGUGUGAAUUGCCUUGUAGCUAUGAAAACUGGUUUCUCAUUUGAAGGCAGCUCGUAGUCAGGAACUGAUUUUAUAAUUGAAGGCAUUAGGAAAUUCAACGUCAUUAGUGUAAUUAUGGAAAGGUGAUUCAUAGCUUUGGGAUAUUUUUCUUUGUUCAAAGAAGACAGUGUCUCUAGGAGACAAACAAAGUAGAUAGCUCAGUUUAAUGAAUAAAUAUUUGUGAAAUACUGAAAACUGAAAACUUUUGGUUAUAAGUGUAAGAAUUGUUCAUUGUGUAAAAAGAUGUACUUUUACAUAUAAUUAUUGAUAUUUUUCUCUAAAACGUAAAAUGUGAAAUGUGAUACAAAUAAUUUUUUGAAACAAUCAAUAGUAAGGAAAAUACAAUGCUUAAAACAGGCAGAGAAACCAAACAGUUACCUAAUAAAUUCUCACAUAAUAUCAUUUUUAAUAUUUGUUUUCCUCUUGAAGAAUAAGUAUCAUUUAUUAAGUAUCAUAAAAUAAAACAUUACUCACUGGCCUGGCCCGGUGACUCAUGCCUGAAAUUCCAGCACUUUGGGAGGCUGAGGAGGGCGGAUUGCUUGAGCCUGGAUUCGAAACCAGCCUGAGAAAGGUGGUGAGACCUCGUCUUUAUUAUUGUUUUUGUUUUUGUUUUAAAUUACUUGGAGCUUCUUUCUAAUGGCUUCCUUACUUUUAAAAAAGCCAAACAUUCCUUCAUUUAUACAAUGUGGUUCUAAAUUCCUUCUGCAAUUUAUUUUUAUUCCCUAAAAACAUGUAGAUAAUAGCUAUUAAUAAUAAGAAAUCUGAUUUUUCUUCUAUUUUGUAUCAGUCAAAAAUAUUAUUUUAAGAACAUAAUGAAAAGUAUUCAAUAUAUGGUUAUCAGAAUUUUUUACACAAUUUUAAAAUGAAGAAAUACCAUUCGUCUAAACUAGUAGAGGGAGAACAGUACUAGGGGAUUAAAUUAACGUCUUACUUUUCAUUAUUAGACACACUUACAUGAGAAAAGGCAAAUAAAGCAAAACAUAAGCAAAGAGACUCUUGCAAAAGUCAAUGUCUAUGACUUAAUUAGGAUAAGGCAAGUGAAGAGAAACAAAUGAAUAUAAAUAGCAGUUGUGUGCUUCCAUAUAAAAUAUAUGGAAACAAAUGACUACUGGUACUUUGCUCUCCAUUAGGAUAACAUGUAAAGACGCAAUCACCUUCAACACUCAAAUAAUAAAACCCAUAUUUUAUCCACACUCAGCUUCUAUCAAUCCCACUUCAUAAAUGCAUUUCAAACUCUUUCCACCCUCUGUAUCUUCACCACCACCACAUUCUUAGCUACCAUAAUUUCUAAUCUUGAGUAGUAAUGCAGUGCCCUGAUAAGAAGCAUUUUAUAGAGAAAAUGGAAAGAAGUUUGAAUAACUACUUAAUUAUCUUGACACAUACAUAAAUAAAUAAAUCUUAGACAAGGAUGAAUAUAAAAAAUAAUGUAUAAAUGUGUCUUAUAAGGCAUUUAGAUACAAAACCUAAAGGUCUUUUUACUUAAACCAGUCAAAAUGAAUAUAGAUAAUACUGCAUUUAGUCAACUAUAAAUGUACAUUUUUCUGCAUUUUUAACACCUCUGAAAUUGAGAUGUGUCAUAAUUAAUGCUAUUAUAAUUUGUAAAGUACGCUAACUCAAGUAGUUGCAUAUCAACUUGCGUUACCUGUUCUACCUGCUAACAUUUCCACCCAGAAGAAAUAUUUUAUUAUCAAAUGGCAGAAACAAUUUUCACAGUAGCCACAUAAAUAGGCUUUGGAUCACAAAAAUCAUAAAUUACUCCCGUGUUGACCUUCCACUAUCAAAAAAGUUUUAAACCCUCCCAGAAAGUUUAGUAGAAAGAGAAAGAGUCAACGGUACGGUGGUAAGAGCAUGCACUCUAAAUCAUGUUGCUUAGAAUAUAUACUAGAUGUGUCAAGUGGCAAGACACUUAACCCUCUGUGCCAACAAACUGCAGAUAACAAUAAUUAUUUCAAUGUAUUUUUGAAGAUUAACAGAUAUUACAUAUCACAAUGCUUAAUGAAUAAUAUGUACUCCAAUAAUUAUAUUAUAUUUUGAUGCUGAUUACUCAUGUUCAAAUGAGGAUUUAAGGCCUCAUUAGAAAUUUAGGCAAUUGGUUAAUCUACUUCUCUAUUCAAUCAACAUAUAGUCAGUGCUAUAUGUGCUGAAGGCACAGUAUUUUCCCUGCUUUAGAGUAGCAAUGUAAUGAGGGAACCAAAGUUAAAAAGCAAAAAGAAGUGAAUUUUAAUGUUGAUAAAAUCAUGCCAUACUAAGAAAUGUGCCUAUAUUAAGGUAAAGUAAUAAACUAUAAAGUUGUUUAACAACAUUUUUAUUCCACUUUUUUUCUUUCCAGUUCCUUAUUGAGUUAAAACUUGUAAAAACUGACAGGUUUGGGUGGCUCAUGCCUGUAAUUCCAGCAUUUUGUGAGGCCAAGGUGGGCAGAUCACCUGAGGUCAGGAGUCUGAAACCAGCCUGCCCAAUAUGGUAAAACCCUGUCUCUACUAAAAAUACAAAAAUUAGCUGGGCAUGGUAGCAUGCGCCUGUAGUCCCAGCUACUAAGGAAGCUGAAGAAGGAGAAUCACUUGAACCAGGGAGGAGGUGGUUGCAGUGAGCCGAGAUUGUGCCACUGCACUCCAGCCUGGGUGACACAGCAAGACUCCGUCGUUAAAAAAAAAAAAAAGCUAUUAACAUAAACUUCAUAGUGUUUUUUAAAGAAGCUACACAUACAAGUUCUUAGUUGCUUCCAAGUUUUUAAGUUUUCAUUUUUAAUUUCUGUAUUAAAAUGCUUUUACCCUGCUAUAAACAAUACCUGAGACUGGAUAAUUUAUAAUGGAAGCAGGUUUAUUUGACUCACGGUUCUGCAUAACUGAGGAGGCCUCAGAAGACUUACAAUCAUGGCAGAAGGUGAAGGGGAAGCAAGACAAGAAAGGCUCUCUCAUUUUUAAACCAUCAGAUUUCGUGAGAACUCAUUAUCAUUAGAACAGCAUGGAAGAAACUGCCACCUUAAACCAAUUGCCUCCCACCAGGCCUCUCCCUCCACAUGUGGGGAUUACAAUUAGAGAUGAGAUUUGGGUGGAGACACAGAGCCAAACCAUAUCAAUUUCCAAGACCUUAUCUUCUCUGUAUUUUGUGUAACAUAUAAGGUGCCCCAAUGUUACUUUUAGUUAAUGUUUACAUCACAUAAAAAGUUACUAGUCUUCUCUGAACAUGAACUUUAUAAGCAUAACAUUUUUAUCAACUUUGAAUGCACAUUUUAAUUUUACUAAGAGUUCCAUAUACCUUCAGUGUUUCUUCUAGAAAUAAGCCUAAAC
Molecule: long non-coding RNA, 4459 nt
Filed under: Homo sapiens (human)
Lineage: Eukaryota; Metazoa; Chordata; Mammalia; Primates; Hominidae
Description: HSALNT0019130
Source: RNAcentral